UACGAAGGGUGCAAGCGUUAAUCGGAAUUACUGGGCGUAAAGCGCGCGUAGGCGGUUUGAUUAGUUGGAUGUGAAAGCCCAGGGCUCAACCUUGGAACUGCAUCCAAUACUGUCAGGCUAGAGUACGGGAGAGGGGGGUAGAAUUCCACGUGUAGCGGUGAAAUGCGUAGAGAUGUGGAGGAAUACCGGUGGCGAAGGCGGCCCCCUGGAUCGAUACUGACGCUGAGGUGCGAAAGCGUGGGGAGCAAAC
This 250-nucleotide ribosomal RNA is filed under the name uncultured bacterium. Its description in RNAcentral is "partial 16S ribosomal RNA". It matches the Rfam family "Bacterial small subunit ribosomal RNA", at positions 524 to 773 of the family's 1533-position model. The record is from RNAcentral.